This 243-nucleotide ribosomal RNA is filed under the name Staphylococcus aureus. RNAcentral describes it as "partial 16S ribosomal RNA". It matches the Rfam family "Bacterial small subunit ribosomal RNA", at positions 1280 to 1521 of the family's 1533-position model. Lineage: Bacteria; Bacillati; Bacillota; Bacilli; Caryophanales; Staphylococcaceae. The record is from RNAcentral.
AGUUGUUCUCAGUUCGGAUUGUAGUCUGCAACUCGACUACAUGAAGCUGGAAUCGCUAGUAAUCGUAGAUCAGCAUGCUACGGUGAAUACGUUCCCGGGUCUUGUACACACCGCCCGUCACACCACGAGAGUUUGUAACACCCGAAGCCGGUGGAGUAACCUUUUAGGAGCUAGCCGUCGAAGGUGGGACAAAUGAUUGGGGUGAAGUCGUAACAAGGUAGCCGUAUCGGAAGGUGCGGCUGG